RNAcentral lists this small RNA (833 nucleotides) under Caenorhabditis elegans. RNAcentral describes it as "Unclassified non-coding RNA T28F12.5". The record is from RNAcentral. Lineage: Eukaryota; Metazoa; Nematoda; Chromadorea; Rhabditida; Rhabditidae.
CAAUUCUUCGAGUCAAUAAACCCAAAGAAUGAUUUCAAAAGCAAUGAGGAUUUGGAAGAAUACCUCUACAACAAGUCACUCGAGAUUCAACCAAAAGGCCUCGACACGCCAACGGCAGAAUUGGUAGGAUAUUCACUAGCAAAAUGAGCUUGCAGUGAGCUCCGGGAGGUGCUCAGAGCAGCGGAGCACUUGCUCAGGCCGAAAUGAAGUUAUAUUGCCGAUACAUUUUGCCAUCAUAAUUUAACAAAAGUUUGGGAAUUUUCAGAAAAAAAUUACGAACUGAAAUAUAUUGGCAAAAAACAUAUUUUUUUCGGAAAUUCACGUGGUUUCAGACUGUCCCAUUACGGCUUGAUCUACAAAAAAGUGCGGGAAUUUUUUCCCCAAACUAAUAUGACGUCAGCACAUUCUUAACCAUGCAAAAUCAGUUGAGAAGUCUGCGUCAAAAUUCCCGCGAUUUUCGUAGAUCAACCCGAAAUGGGGCAGCCUGCAAGCUCAGUUCUUUAAUUUCACAGAUCCUUCCAUAGUAGAUCAACUCUAAUAUUAAAUGUUCAGAAGCCAAAGCACAAUGCCUCAACACUCCGUUCUCCUGGAGUAAAACCGCCGAAAGCUGCAGGAAAUCACUACUCGGCGAAUCAUCCGAUCGGACUUCAUCUUCAUUCUCAGAAUUCGCAUUCGGCACCACACGCAAUGUCAAGCCAGUCGAGUACGGUGCCAAAUACUCCACUCAGCGCACAUGAGACGAAGAGAAGCUUGUCACAUAAUCAGGACGAUGCUCCUCUCCAACAAUUUGUCGAUAUUCGAUUUGAGAGAAAGGGGACGCAUCCGAAAAUUCG